RNAcentral lists this non-coding RNA (30 nucleotides) under Mus musculus (house mouse). Lineage: Eukaryota; Metazoa; Chordata; Mammalia; Rodentia; Muridae. The record is from RNAcentral.
UAUGUAUCCAAACACUUAGACGGAAAGCUA